UUGGCCAUUGCGAUAGGAAUGAAUCUACCUCAACAAAAAGAACCCGAGUUGAAAAUUCUCUGCCUCUCUGUAGUCAAAACUCCUAAGCUUUUCAGGUCAGCGUGCAGGCACAGCUUGAACUAGGACAGCCAAGCCACAAUUUCUAAACUUGUCAUAAGCCUGCCGUGACUGUGACAGGCUGACUUCUUCCACAAUGACAGGAGAGUGCAAUUGGGCUGUCUAGCUCCAGGGAAAGCUGCCCCCCCCAUAGAAGCCAUCAAGGCAAAGAGCUCCCACUGUUCUAACCAGUAACACUCUCACCUUUGGUGCUUACACUCCCCAGAUAACCAGCAAUCGAUUUAAAAGAUGCUGCAGGAGCAGAGUCCUGAAAGCUGAGGUGCUGAGCAGGGCCUGGUGAGUAGGGGACUCUGCUCCUGUGGUACUGAGACUGCAGCUCUCUAGCUGCCAGGUUACUCAUUCUGGGACUCAGGAAGUCAAAGAGAAACACUCAUUAGCAUCAUGGGAGUUGUGCUUGAGCUCAGACACAUUCAUUCUCCACCCUGUCGCUGCCAGGCUUGCUGUGACAAAAAACAUGGCUUUUCAGGGUUCCUCAGUUCUAGUUUUUGUCAACCCAGCCAGCCUGACACUGAGUGCAACACCCAGGAAUGUUUACAAGUCGAGCUCUACACGUCUGGUGCUGCAGAGUACCGCAGAAUGAAUGGGGCUUGGAAAAGGUUUAAAUUAUUCAUGAAUUGUCAUUAAAUGAUUUAUUGUAAAAUAAAGGACAAUUUUCUCUAAAGAAGGUGCUGCCCUCUACCUCCCCCUCCCCCGCCACCUGCGUUGUGUCUGUACGUCUGCGACUACUGCCUUAUGUGCCGUGACAAACCGACUUUCCUAACGAAUGGGAAUCUAUGCCCAUCUUAUUGGAUGGAGCUGAGCCCAUGUUUCCAUGUUCAGUUCAGACUCUCUUUGAUCCAGAAGGAUACUGUGGCCAAGAUAGGCCAUGGGAUUAUGCUGGUCUUUUUAUUCCACUGUGCUUCCCUCCCUACCCAGCAGGUUCUGUUGUUGUCUAUGGAUUUAUCAGUCUCAUGUACAUUAGAAGCUCCUUAGGACAGGGAUGUAUUUUCUUAUUUGUCUGGAGAGCACUGUGCACACACCACUGGUGCUAUAUAAUCAAUCUGGCUGCUCCCAAGAGCUGUGAUUAUCAUGCAAGAGAAGGUAAGGGAGAUAGGGCUGGAUGCCCUCUGCAUAUCCAGGGCAUGGUUACUUCAGAGGGUGUUUCAUGAUAAACAAAGCCCCAGUUGCAGGUGCUGUUGUUUUUUGACAGGUGUUUUUGAAGCUGUAAAUGUGCAUUUUGGGUGGCCUCUUGGUUAGUAAUGUUCCUCAUUUAAACCACAUACUAGGCUGUACUUUCCAUGCAUUCCACAGUAUGCUGACUUGGCCUUCACAGGAUUUAUUCAUCAUCACCUUCCCCUGCCCCCAUGAAGAAGCCUUCAGUGUUGUACAUUCCAUGCUCUCUAAACCAGGACAACCCUGCUGUGCCCCACUGAGAGCUUCGUUAGGCCUUGGCUACACUUGCAAGUUAGAGCGCAUUAAAUCAGCCCUGGGUGCCCUAACUCCUGAGGUGUUCACACUGGCAAGGCACGUAGAGCGCCCAGAGUCCAUGGCUGGAGCGCCCCUGGUAAUCCACUUCCAUGAGAAGCAUAAAGCUUGCUGCACCCCAGCUGGAGUGCCAAAGUGCCAGUGUGGAUGCCCUGGUCCAUUAAUGCACUCUGAUCGGCCUCCAGAAAUGUCCCACAAUGCCUAUUCUAGCCACUCUGGUCAUCACUUUGAAUUCUACUGCCCCACCCUCAGAUGACCAACUUUCAGACCCCCCCUUUAAAUUCUCUGGGAAUUUUGAAAUUCCCCUUCCUGUUUGCUCAGCCAGGCGCGGAGUGCUUUCAGCGAAUCUUUCCAGGUGACCAUGCCUCCAUGCACCAGGCAAUCCCCAGUAUGGAGCAAUGGCGAAGAGCUGGACCUCAUCAAUGUUUGAGGGGAGAAAGCUGUCCAGUUCCAGAUAUCAAGGGUCAUGCUGGAAAGGGGCCAUGACAGGGACACUCUGCAGUGCAGGAGCUGCGGAAUGCCUACCCCAAAGCCCGAGAGGCAAAUGGCCGCUCCAGUGCUGCCCCUGCGACCUGCUGUUUCUACAAAGAACUGGAUGCAAUAUUUGGGGGUGACCCCACCUCCACUCCGAAGAGCACCAGAGGCCUUAGCAGUCCAGAGUUCAACAGGGCAGGAGGAGGAAAGCAGGAGCAAGGGUGCUGAGGAGGAGGGGGGCCCAGAGCCAGAGGAUGGUCCAGCAUCCCUAUAUGCAUGCAGCCAGGAGCUGUUUUCAAGCCAGGAGGAAGGUAGCCAGUUGCAGCAGACAGUGUUUGAGGAAGAACAAACAGCAGAGGAGGUGCCCGAUGCAACCUUGAGAUCCCAGCCGUCCUUGUUAUCAAUGGCCGAAAGGCUACAAAGAAUCAGGAAGCGGCCGCGAAGAAGCCAGGAGGACCUUCUGCAUGAAGUCAUGCAGCAGUCCCUACUGAAAAUCAAAAAGUAUAGGAGUGGUGGGAGACUGCAAGGAGGCUCCACCAGCAGAAUGCAGAUCGCUGGCACCAAAGCAUGGAGCAGCUGUUAAGCAUUAUGGAGCGCCAAGCAGACUCAAUGCAGGCACUCAUAGCACUGCAGACGGAGCAGAUCCACACCUGGCCCCACCCCGCAGCCCUUGUCCCAAAACUCUUUCCCUUGUGCCCCCAUGUCACCACCAACCCACUUCACCCAACAUCCAGUUUCUUACCACCACCAGCUGCCUCUAACACCUGUAGCUUCACCACCCAGCCCAGCAAACUACGACGCUUACCCACUGCACUCAACCCCCUUCACCGUGCAUUUUAGCCAGCCUGAAGUGCAGCACCCAUUGCACCACACUCCAGACAGGAAGGCUGAAUAUGAUAACAAGACACAUGCAAAUCUGUGCUUGUCCAUUUCCCACCCCAUCCCCUUCCCUCCUCCCACACAGCACAGAUGUGUCAUGCCUUUUCUGUUCCCCAGCAGUUGUUUCUUUUCAAUAAAUGAAUUUUUUUGGCUUUGAAAA
Molecule: long non-coding RNA, 3094 nt
Organism: Dermochelys coriacea (leatherback sea turtle)
Lineage: Eukaryota; Metazoa; Chordata; Testudines; Dermochelyidae
Exons: 2
Source: RefSeq, a predicted model, not a curated record